This 172-nucleotide unclassified non-coding RNA is filed under the name soil metagenome. RNAcentral describes it as "partial contains 5.8S ribosomal RNA, internal transcribed spacer 2, and large subunit ribosomal RNA". The record is from RNAcentral.
AACCUUAUGGACCUGCGGGCGUAUACCUGCGGAAGGAUCAUUAAUAAAUGUUACUUCGGUAACUUAAUUAAUCCCUAACACCUGUGCAUCUUGUCGCUUCGGCGUCAUUUUAUAAACAUCAGUGUAAUGAAUGUAAAGUAUUAUAACAAAUACAACUUUCAACAAUGGAUCU